UUAACUUGUAUUGCCAAAGCAAAUAAAAGGGAACUCUCCCUUGCUUUAUAAUAAAAUUGAGUAGACUAAGUGGGAAAAAAGGGAUGUUAGUCCCCUUUUUAUGGCCGAUUCAUUGGAUUGGGCCCCCAAAAGAUACCUUUUGGGGCCAUUGGCGUAGAGAGGGGGGAUCCGAUUUUCGGAUCGGCGCCGAAGGCGCCCAACCCUACUCGAUUUUUAUGAAAAACCACUCUUUUUAUUAGGAUUACUGGCUAAAACCGUACAAGUAAGGUAGUUUGGUUGGGGCGACCGCCUUCGAAAAAGUAUCGAAGGCGUACAUAAGAUUAAUCCGGGGGGGGUGUCCUUUUUUCACCCCCAAACAAACCGGGGGUAAUGCCCCAAAAAAGAUUAGUUUGACUGAGAGGGCUACAACCCGAACAGGCGCUUGGGGAUCGUUAGGAUCCCUGGGCCCGGUUUAUACCAAGGGGCCUAAUUGACCAGCGGGCUCCUUUUUAUUCCCGGGUCGAACCUAGCGGGUCAUAGUGAUCCGUUGUUAUAUUGUGGGAUAGACAACGAUCAACGAAGA
Molecule: ribosomal RNA, 562 nt
Rfam family: Bacterial large subunit ribosomal RNA